This 239-nucleotide ribosomal RNA is filed under the name uncultured bacterium. Its description in RNAcentral is "partial 16S ribosomal RNA". It matches the Rfam family "Bacterial small subunit ribosomal RNA", at positions 333 to 589 of the family's 1533-position model. The record is from RNAcentral.
UAUAACCUACGGGGGGCAGCAGUGGGGGAUAUUGCACAAUGGGGGGAACCCUGAUGCAGCGACGCCGCGUGGGUGAAGGAGCGUUUCGGCGCGUAAAGCCCUAUCGGCAGGGAAGAAGAUGACGGUACCUGACCAAGAAGCCCCGGCUAACUACGUGCCAGCAGCCGCGGUAAUACCUAGGGGGCAAACGUUAUCCGGAUUUACUGGGUGUAAAGGGGGCGCAGACGGCAAUGCAAUCC